RNAcentral lists this non-coding RNA (221 nucleotides) under Clostridium chromiireducens. RNAcentral describes it as "Clostridium chromoreductans Bacterial small subunit ribosomal RNA". It matches the Rfam family "Bacterial small subunit ribosomal RNA", at positions 1313 to 1533 of the family's 1533-position model. The record is from Rfam by way of RNAcentral. Lineage: Bacteria; Bacillati; Bacillota; Clostridia; Eubacteriales; Clostridiaceae.
CGCCUACAUGAAGCUGGAGUUGCUAGUAAUCGCGAAUCAGAAUGUCGCGGUGAAUACGUUCCCGGGCCUUGUACACACCGCCCGUCACACCAUGAGAGUUGGCAAUACCCAAAGUUCGUGAGCUAACCGUAAGGAGGCAGCGACCUAAGGUAGGGUCAGCGAUUGGGGUGAAGUCGUAACAAGGUAGCCGUAGGAGAACCUGCGGCUGGAUCACCUCCUUU